AUGGAGGGUUAAGAAAGCAGAGUUUGUGGAGUGAGACUCUGCUGAUACACCCCUCCAAGAGUAACUGGACGGUCAGAGAGCAGCCUGAGCUUAAAGAUUUUGUAACGGCUGACUGCACCAUCCUACACUU
This 130-nucleotide small nucleolar RNA is filed under the name Pelobates cultripes (western spadefoot toad). It matches the Rfam family "Small Cajal body specific RNA 4". From Rfam's summary of the family: scaRNAs are a specific class of small nuclear RNAs which localise to the Cajal bodies and guide the modification of RNA polymerase II transcribed spliceosomal RNAs U1, U2, U4, U5 and U12. ACA26 belongs to the H/ACA box class of guide RNAs as it has the predicted hairpin-hinge-hairpin-tail structure, conserved H/ACA-box motifs and is found associated with GAR1. The record is from RNAcentral. Lineage: Eukaryota; Metazoa; Chordata; Amphibia; Anura; Pelobatidae.